This is a small nuclear RNA of Phodopus roborovskii (desert hamster), 107 nucleotides long. Lineage: Eukaryota; Metazoa; Chordata; Mammalia; Rodentia; Cricetidae. The record is from RefSeq and is a predicted model, not a curated record.
AUACUCCUUUUGGCAGCACAUACACUAAAAUUGGAAUAAUAUAGAGAAAAUUACCAUGUCUCCUAUUCAAGGACAAUACAAAAAUGCACAAACUGUUCCAUAUUUUU